UCGAGUAACAGGUGCUGGUUCAUUAAACAUCGCACAUGCGAUGUAUAUCCAUUAAUUCUUCGAGUUUGAACUCUAAAAAGUCUCUUACACUUGGACGAAAUGUCUAUAAAUAGAGAGCGGUAUGAGUUGAAGACGGAAAAGACGGUAGUGGCAGACGGCAAACGUGGUGCUCGAGACAACGAUUCGCGUGCGCCAGACGUUUUCUUUCGCAAUUAGGUCGAUCUCUGGCUAAUGAGACGGUACCGGUUUUCUCCGACGUAUCAACGCGUUCCGACCAUUUUGAUAUUACGAUUUGACAAGUUUUCAAUUCGAUUCAUUCCAAGAUAAAAUUGAUCUUCUUUGCCAAGGCACGCGAGGAGGACAACUUUUUAUUUUUCUUCGAUGCUUCAAUCGAAUGUGCUUGUUCGUUCGAUAAUUCUUAAAAUACGUCGGCCUACUUUAAUCCGCGUAAAACGCAGCAUUAACGAUGCGAUGCGUUGCGACAUACGGUCAUCCCUUACGAUGCAGCAUUAAAAAUAGACAUCUUACAUUGUAUUUAUGGAACCGAGUGACUUUGAGAUCGACGAGAACAUCUGGGAAACGUACGAUCGAAUAGUAGACGAUUCGAUCGGCAAACGAUACCAUUAGUAGUCGAGAAACGUCAGCAACGUCAGCAACGUCAGCAAUGUCAGCAACGUCGGUAGCAGCAGCGGUGGCGCCAUGAUGACUUUAGCCAUUAGACUAGCAAUCGGAGAGCUUUAAUUUUGACUGGUAAGUUUAGCGAUAGGCGCAAAGUGGUUGACAAAUAAAAGCCGUUCGAGUGCUUCUUCGGAGUUACGAUGCUUCGGUAUAUAUCCGGAAUAUAUAGGGGUAUAUGCGAGCUGGGGGUGUAAACGGUGGCUCGAGUGUGCUUUUGGUUCUACCGUAGCGCGAAGAAGAGCGAAAAA
RNAcentral lists this long non-coding RNA (926 nucleotides) under Polistes fuscatus (common paper wasp). RNAcentral describes it as "uncharacterized LOC122515803". The record is from RNAcentral. Lineage: Eukaryota; Metazoa; Arthropoda; Insecta; Hymenoptera; Vespidae.